This 473-nucleotide ribosomal RNA is filed under the name uncultured bacterium. RNAcentral describes it as "bacterial SSU rRNA". It matches the Rfam family "Bacterial small subunit ribosomal RNA", at positions 28 to 492 of the family's 1533-position model. The record is from RNAcentral.
GAUGAACGCUGGCGGCGUGCUUAACACAUGCAAGUCGAACGAAGCACUUCAUAAAGCUUGCUUUAAGAAGUGACUUAGUGGCGGACGGGUGAGUAACGCGUGGGUAACCUGCCUUACACAGGGGGAUAACAGUUAGAAAUGACUGCUAAUACCGAAUAAGUUCCAAGAGCCGCAUGGCCCAUGGAAGAAAAGGUGGCCUCUACCUGUAAGCUAUCGCCUGAAGAGGGGUUUGCGUCUGAUUAGCUGGUUGGAGGGGUAACGGCCCGACCAAGGCGACGAUCAGUAGCCGGUCUGAGAGGAUGAACGGCCACACUGGAACUGAGACACGGCCCAGACUCCUACGGAGGCAGCAGUGGGGAAUAUUGCACAAUGGAGGAAACUCUGAUGCAGCGACGCCGCGUGAGUGAAGAAGUAGUUCGCUAUGUAAAGCUCUAUCAGCAGGGAAGAUAGUGACGGUACCUGACUAAGAAGCU